Molecule: RNA transcript, 2791 nt
Organism: Xyrauchen texanus (razorback sucker)
Lineage: Eukaryota; Metazoa; Chordata; Actinopteri; Cypriniformes; Catostomidae
Exons: 7
Source: RefSeq, a predicted model, not a curated record
AUGCAUUCCUCGCCGUCUAUGGAUCUUAUUAUAGUGUAGAGGCGAGGCUCACUUCAGCCAUGGUCCCCCAAAAUGCUGCUGUUUUCCCGUAAAAAAUGUAUACGCCGUCAUGUGGACUUCAGUUAUCAGAGAUUGUUCGGCUGUCUUUUAAGGAAUAUGUUUUCAAGUUCUGCUUUCCUAUAUCUAUAUAUUUUGAUCGCAAAUGAUGUUUUGAGUGAUAAUUCAGAUGAAUUGAAGACAGUUUUGGAGGGAGAUUCUGUCACUCUACACACUAAUAUUACUGAAGUACAGAGAGAUGAUCACAUACUGUGGAGGUUUGGACCUCGAAACACUCGAAUAGCUGAAAUCUUUAAAAGGGACCAAAUAAACUUUAUAUGGGUCAGUAAUGAUGAAAUAUUCAGAGAUAAACUGCAACUGAACAAUCAGACUGGAUCUCUCACCAUCAAGAACAUCACAAUCACUCAUACUGGACUUUAUCAGGUAGAGAUGAUCCGCAGUGGAGGAACUUCAGUGAAAAGAUUCAUUAUCAUUGUGUAUUCUCCUCUUCCUGUUCCUGCCAUUACCAAUAACUGUUCAUCAUCAUCAUCAUCAUCAUCAUCAAAGAGAUCAUCAAGCUCUAAAUGUGUGUUGGUGUGUUCAGUGGUGACUGUGACACAUGUGACUCUCUCCUGGUACAAAGGAAACAGUUUAUUGUCCUCCAUCAGUGUGUCUGAUCUCAACAGUCUCUCUCUACCUCUGGAGGUGGAAUAUCAGGAGAACAACAUCUACAGCUGUGUGGUCAACAAUCCCAUCAGAAACCAGACUAAACAUCUCAACAUUAAUGAAGUCUGUCAGACAUGUUCAGAUCAGACCCCACGUUACUAUCAUAUACCACUGAUAGUUGCUGUAGUGCUGCUGGUGAUAAUUGCAGUUAUUGGAAUUAUGAUGUUCUGGCACUGGAGGGGCGGGAAACUACCAUGUCAAAAGGUCCAAACUCAUGAGGAAGAGAUACAUUACUCUUCAACAACUUUCCGUGCACACCGUAAUCACAAUAUGAAAGCUGAAAUAGCAGAUCCAGUAUUGUACACAAGUGUCUUGUCAAGAUGAGUAUCCAACAUUAUUGGGUUGAUAUUGUAAAUCUGGUAUUGGAAUAUACAGUAAAGACAUUUAUUUUUUAAUAUAUUUAUUUAUAAAUAUUACAUUUCUAUGAUAAGUGCCUUUUUUCAAGUUUUUCAAAUGAUUUGAUGGGAUACGUUUGAUCAGUCUUUAAACAGAGUUCAUGAGAUGCUACUGAACGCCUGGUUAAUUAUCUUGUCUGUACAUGCCCAGACUUAAAAAAACCGUUGAUCCAUCUCAUUUAACUGCUGCAUAACAGCAUUACAAGGGAUGCCAAUGAAGCCAAACUAAGAUCUUGUCUAGACUUGUGCUUUGUUUUUGUAAUGAUAAACUUCAUUUGAUGAAUCAGUGUUCUGGGGUAUUCCAGACAGCAGGUUAAGAGACUUACUAUUACUUACUAGACUUCCUAUCGCUAUUAUGAGUGAAGAUGAAGAUGCCCGUUUGCAUUCAUUAACAUUAGGGGCUAUUUCCAUGGUGACUCGAGAAUUUGGCAAUCUGCUGAAACUAACGGUUGAGUAAACGAACCCUGCACAGUUUUAGGUUAAUCAACCGAGAGUUCAGGGUUUAUCUCACGGUCAGUUAACCUUGCUUUCAGGAAUACCCCUCUGGUCUGGUGCUGUGUAUUUAGAAAAUACUAGUAUUAGAAGUAUAAGUGUUAGAAGACUAUUAGUAUUACAUCACUAUUAUAGCAUCAACAUUUAAUACAGAUCUGUAGCACUGAAUUAUGAAAGUACUUUUAAUACUUUUAACUUUUAACAGACUCUUAAGUGUUACUUCUUACAACCCUCGAAAAUUGAAAAUUGACUUUUUUUUUUUUGGUCAGGAUUUAUACAUUUAUGUUCAAUCUUGUUUGUAGAUCCUGAAUGUCCUUCACUCAUUUCUAUAACACCAUUACCUUCCAAUCUGCAAUGUUCUCCUGUGUAUGUUUCACAUGUUUUCCAUGUGCCUGGAAUGCUGGAAAUCAGGGUUGCCAGAUCUCUAUAAAGCAAUUUGGUCUGAUAAAAUAAGCCUUUAUAAGCACUAUAAAAGUUCACAAAAACAUCCAUUUUCUGUCAUUAUUUAACAAUCAUUUUGUCGUUGAAGACAUAUGACUUUAUUUUUGUGCAGAACACAAAAGGAGAUAUUUUAAAGAAGGUCGUGAUCGGUGACUGUCAAUAAAAGUGUCAUGAAAGUAAUGCUUGAUCAUUUGCACUCAUGUAUACAUGGCCCAAAUCAUUAAAUCAAAUAUGGCGACAAGUCAAUAUCAUUCAAGCUCAAAGUCACGGGGUUAGGUCCAGUGGCGUAACUUGGAUUUUAAGGACCCCUCAUUGGUCGGUAAUAUGUGUUUUCUCCAAAUCAAUAAGUGUUUUCAUGAAAAAAAUUAAAAAUAAGCCCAAAUGUGCUUGUAAGUAGAGGAUAUGGCAACACUGGUUGAAACUUGCAGCCCUUAUUUUGCAUUGUGUGUUUUUCUGCUGACAUGUACUUUUUGUAUUUUAGAUUAAUUUCAAAUUCCCUUGCUGUAAUCUUUCACUUUUUAAUAAAUAACACGAGAAAACAUUAAGACUCUUUUUGUUUUAUACAUGGUCUGACUGGUUUAGUCGGAGAAGUCUAUUAUGUAUUUACACCUCUUUUCUAAACAGCUAUUAUUUGUGAUAAUUAUUUCAUCCUGUUUUAUAAGACAGGUGCCGUUUUCAAUGUACAACUGACAUUAAUGUUC